CAGCGCCGCGGUAAUACGAAGGGUGCAAGCGUUACUCGGAAUUACUGGGCGUAAAGCGUGCGUAGGUGGUGGUUUAAGUCCGUUGUGAAAGCCCUGGGCUCAACCUGGGAAUUGCAGUGGAUACUGGGUCACUAGAGUGUGGUAGAGGAUAGUGGAAUUUCCGGCGUAGCAGUGAAAUGCGUAGAGAUCGGAAGGAACAUCUGUGGCGAAGGCGACUAUCUGGGCCAACACUGACACUGAGGCACGAAAGCGUGGGGAGCAAACAGGAUUAGAUACCCGCGUAGUCCCUGUCUCUUAUACA
RNAcentral lists this ribosomal RNA (301 nucleotides) under uncultured bacterium. RNAcentral describes it as "partial 16S ribosomal RNA". It matches the Rfam family "Bacterial small subunit ribosomal RNA", at positions 509 to 808 of the family's 1533-position model. The record is from RNAcentral.